UGGGGAAUAUUGGACAAUGGGCGAAAGCCUGAUCCAGCCAUGCCGCGUGUGUGAAGAAGGUCUUCGGAUUGUAAAGCACUUUAAGUUGGGAGGAAGGGCAGUAAGCGAAUACCUUGCUGUUUUGACGUUACCGACAGAAUAAGCACCGGCUAACUCUGUGCCAGCAGCCGCGGUAAUACAGAGGGUGCAAGCGUUAAUCGGAAUUACUGGGCGUAAAGCGCGCGUAGGUGGUUCGUUAAGUUGAAUGUGAAAGCCCCGGGCUCAACCUGGGAACUGCAUCCAAAGCUGGCGAGCGGGAGUAGGGCAGAGGGUGGUGGAAUUUCCUGUGUAGCGGUGAAAUGCGUAGAUAUAGGAAGGAACGCCAGUGGCGAAGGCGACCACCUGAGCUCAUACUGACACUGAGGUGCGAAAGCGUGGGGAGCAAACAGG
RNAcentral lists this ribosomal RNA (429 nucleotides) under Pseudomonadota bacterium. RNAcentral's name for it is "Proteobacteria bacterium partial 16S ribosomal RNA". It matches the Rfam family "Bacterial small subunit ribosomal RNA", at positions 355 to 776 of the family's 1533-position model. Lineage: Bacteria; Pseudomonadati; Pseudomonadota. The record is from RNAcentral.